This 525-nucleotide ribosomal RNA is filed under the name Balneola sp. RNAcentral's name for it is "bacterial SSU rRNA". It matches the Rfam family "Bacterial small subunit ribosomal RNA", at positions 379 to 904 of the family's 1533-position model. Lineage: Bacteria; Pseudomonadati; Balneolota; Balneolia; Balneolales; Balneolaceae. The record is from RNAcentral.
GAGCCUGACGCAGCCACGCCGCGUGCCGGAUGAAGGCCCUAUGGGUUGUAAACGGCUUUUGAGGAGGAAGAACGACUGGAUUUCGAUCUGGUGUGACGGUACUCCUUGAAUAAGCACCGGCUAACUCCGUGCCAGCAGCCGCGGUAAUACGGAGGGUGCAAGCGUUGUCCGGAAUCAUUGGGUGUAAAGGGUGCGUAGGCGGGCUAUUAAGUCUGGGGUGAAAUCUUGCCGCUUAACGGUAAAAUGGCCCUGGAUACUGGUAGUCUUGAGUGUAGAAGAGGUAAGUGGAAUUCGUAGUGUAGCGGUGAAAUGCAUAGAUAUUACGAAGAACAUCAGUGGCGAAGGCGGCUUACUGGUCUACAACUGACGCUGAGGCACGAAAGCGUGGGGAGCGAACAGGAUUAGAUACCCUGGUAGUCCACGCUGUAAACGAUGCAUACUAGGUGUUGGCCUUUCGGGGCCAGUGCUGCAGUUAACGCAUUAAGUAUGCCACCUGGGGAGUACGUCGGCAACGAUGAAACUCAA